Salmo salar (Atlantic salmon) is the source of this 56-nucleotide non-coding RNA. The record is from Rfam. Lineage: Eukaryota; Metazoa; Chordata; Actinopteri; Salmoniformes; Salmonidae.
UAUGUAUGCACAUGCAUAAGUCGCUUUGGAUAAAAGCGUCUGCUAAAUGGUAUAUA